This 497-nucleotide ribosomal RNA is filed under the name uncultured bacterium. RNAcentral's name for it is "partial 16S ribosomal RNA". It matches the Rfam family "Bacterial small subunit ribosomal RNA", at positions 28 to 507 of the family's 1533-position model. The record is from RNAcentral.
GACGAACGCUGGCGGCGUGCCUAAUACAUGCAAGUAGAACGCUGAAGAGAGGAGCUUACUCUUCUUGGAUGAGUUGCGAGCGGGUGAGUAACGCGUAGGUAACCUGCCUUGUAGCGGGGGAUAACUAUUGGAAACGAUAGCUAAUACCGCAUAACAAUGGAUGACACAUGUCAUUUAUUUGAAAGGGGCAAUUGCUCCACUACAAGAUGGACCUGCGUUGUAUUAGCUAGUAGGUGAGGUAAUGGCUCACCUAGGCGACGAUACAUAGCCGACCUGAGAGGGUGAUCGGCCACACUGGGACUGAGACACGGCCCAGACUCCUACGGGAGGCAGCAGUAGGGAAUCUUCGGCAAUGGGGGCAACCCUGACCGAGCAACGCCGCGUGAGUGAAGAAGGUUUUCGGAUCGUAAAGCUCUGUUGUAAGUCAAGAACGGGUGUGAGAGUGGAAAGUUCACACUGUGACGGUAGCUUACCAGAAAGGGACGGCUAACUACGUG